UAUUUAAUCAGAGGAUAGAAUGGGCUUGGAUAGCCCUUACUACAGACUGGUUUUCACACAAGGUACAGUAGACAGUUAUUUAAUCAGAGGAUAGAAUGGGCUUGGAUAGCCCUUACCACAGACUGGUUUUCACACAAGGUACAGUAGACACUAUUUAAGCAGAGGAUAGAAUGGGCUUGGAUAGCCUUUACUACAGACUGGUUUUCACACAAGGUACAGUAGACACAGUUAUUUAAGCAGAGGAUAGAAUGGGCUUGGAUAGCCCUUACU
RNAcentral lists this long non-coding RNA (270 nucleotides) under Salmo salar (Atlantic salmon). RNAcentral describes it as "lncRNA (ENSSSAG00000100067.1)". Lineage: Eukaryota; Metazoa; Chordata; Actinopteri; Salmoniformes; Salmonidae. The record is from RNAcentral.